This is a long non-coding RNA of Gallus gallus (chicken), 960 nucleotides long. NCBI's taxonomy places the organism in Eukaryota, Metazoa, Chordata, Aves, Galliformes, Phasianidae. The record is from Ensembl.
CAGCCGCCAAAGCAGUUGCCAGCAGCUUCAUGUGGAGCCUGCUCCCUCUCUGAGGAGUGUGUCUCUUUAAAUAUCUCACAUAAAAACCAAGGUCUGUAGAACCUGAAAAACUACAGCAAAAAGCAAUGUGACGAUAAGGCGAAUAUUUGUCUGGCUAUGUGCAAAGCCCCGAAUCAAGUUUUUCUUCUUUCCUUUCCAGGGACUCUAAUUCAGAAAGGUGUUGGUGAGACCCAAAUCGUACGGUGGAUCGUAGCGUGUUUUUACCAUCCCUCACUGGAGCGGAGCAAUCGCAACGGGACGCACUGCUGAUCGAUACGUUCAGAGGAUCUGGUGACCCUCGCUGUGGCCAUGCCCAAGCCACCCGCUUUGCAGACAGAGGUGAUCUUGGCCUUCAGGAAGCUCUAUCAGCAGGACUAAGAUGGAAUAGGAGUUGGAAAGCCUAUAGUCAUCAUGGGAAUGGAGACACUGCUUUGUUGGAAAAAAGACCACGUUACAUAGUUUAUCUGGACAAUCACAGCCACUUGCAGCAGCAUUGCCUGUGCUGCAUUUGCUCUUCAGUGAACUGGAGCUGCUUGUCAUCCAGGAGGUCAUCCUGUAGCUCACAGAACUCAAGAACCCAGUGAGGAGACAGCAACUGACUUGAGAAGAGCUACAUUGGAUAUUAAAUGUUCCUAAAAUCACAGAAUGGCUGAAGUUGGAAGGUGAUCUCUUGAGAUUAUCUGGUCCAACUUGCACUUAAGGGAUACCCAGAACAGUGGGCCCAGGAACUUGUCCACAUGGCCUUUGAAUAUCACCUUUUUGGCCAUGUGGAUGCACUGAUGUCUCACGUUCAACUCGAUGGUCACCAGGAUCCAUGGGAGCAUCCUACCAGGAUUCAUAGACUUGUCAUCCUGUGCUAACAGCAAUGCUUCCUUGUAUCUGAAGGUGAGCAGUGUUGAAAUGUACUCUGUGGAAGACAAA